CCUACGGUGGGCAGCAGUGAGGAAUAUUGCUCACUGGGGGCAAGCCUGAAGCAGCCACGCCGCGUGAUUGAUGAAGGCCUUAGGGUUGUAAAGCUCUUUAAUCGUGGACGUAUUUUGACGGUAGCAGAAGAAUACGCUCCUGCCAACUACGUGACAGCAGCCUCGGUACUACGUAGGGAGCACUCGUUAUCCGGAUUUACUGGGGUUAACGGGCGUGUAGGCGGGCAUGCAAGCCAGAAGUGAAAUCUGCGGGCUUAACCCCCAAACUGCAUUUGGCACUGGGUGUCUUGAGUGAUGGAGAGGCAGGCGGAAGUCCCAGUGUAGCGGUGAAAUGCGUAGAUAUUGGGAGGAACACCAGUGGCGAAGGCGGCCUGCUGGACAUUAACUGACGCUGAGGCGCGAAAGCGUGGGGAGCAAACAGGAUUAGAUACCCUUGUAGUC
This 441-nucleotide ribosomal RNA is filed under the name uncultured bacterium. RNAcentral's name for it is "partial 16S ribosomal RNA". It matches the Rfam family "Bacterial small subunit ribosomal RNA", at positions 338 to 795 of the family's 1533-position model. The record is from RNAcentral.